This 810-nucleotide ribosomal RNA is filed under the name uncultured bacterium. RNAcentral describes it as "bacterial SSU rRNA". It matches the Rfam family "Bacterial small subunit ribosomal RNA", at positions 65 to 866 of the family's 1533-position model. The record is from RNAcentral.
AGCGGUGGUGAAGGCUUGCCUUCACCAGCCGGCGACCGGCGCACGGGUGAGUAACACGUAUGCAACCUGCCUGCCACAGCCGGAUAAUCGGGAGAAAUCCCGUCUAAUACGGCAUAAUGCAUCGACGGGACAUCCUGUUGGUGCCAAAGGUUAAUUCCGGUGGCGGAUGGGCAUGCGUCGCAUUAGUUAGUUGGCGGUGUAACGGACCACCAAGACGACGAUGCGUAGGGGUUCUGAGAGGAAGGUCCCCCACACUGGUACUGAGACACGGACCAGACUCCUACGGGAGGCAGCAGUGAGGAAUAUUGGUCAAUGGGCGGGAGCCUGAACCAGCCAAGUCGCGUGAGGGAUGACGGCCCUAUGGGUUGUAAACCUCUUUUGCCGGGGAGCAAAGUGCCGCACGUGUGCGGUUUGGAGAGUACCCGGAGAAAAAGCAUCGGCUAACUCCGUGCCAGCAGCCGCGGUAAUACGGAGGAUGCGAGCGUUAUCCGGAUUUAUUGGGUUUAAAGGGUGCGUAGGCGGACGCUUAAGUCAGCGGUAAAAUUGCGGGGCUCAACCUCGUCGAGCCGUUGAAACUGGGUGUCUUGAGUGGGCGAGAAGUACGCGGAAUGCGUGGUGUAGCGGUGAAAUGCAUAGAUAUCACGCAGAACUCCGAUUGCGAAGGCAGCGUACCGGCGCCCAACUGACGCUGAAGCACGAAGGCGUGGGUAUCGAACAGGAUUAGAUACCCUGGUAGUCCACGCAGUAAACGAUGAAUGCUAGUUGUCCGGGGCGAUUGAGUUCUGGGUGACACAGCGAAAGCGUUAAGCA